RNAcentral lists this ribosomal RNA (465 nucleotides) under uncultured bacterium. RNAcentral's name for it is "partial 16S ribosomal RNA". It matches the Rfam family "Bacterial small subunit ribosomal RNA", at positions 29 to 507 of the family's 1533-position model. The record is from RNAcentral.
ACGAACGCUGGCGGCGUGCUUAACACAUGCAAGUCGAACGGAAAGGCCCUGCUUGCAGGGUACUCGAGUGGCGAACGGGUGAGUAACACGUGGGUGAUCUGCCCUGCACUUCGGGAUAAGCUUGGGAAACUGGGUCUAAUACCGGAUAGGAGCCAUCUUUAGUGUGGUGGUUGGAAAGUUUUUUCGGUGUAGGAUGAGCUCGCGGCCUAUCAGCUUGUUGGUGGGGUAAUGGCCUGCCAAGGCGGCGACGGGUAGCCGGCCUGAGAGGGUGUACGGCCACAUUGGGACUGAGAUACGGCCCAGACUCCUACGGGAGGCAGCAGUGGGGAAUAUUGCACAAUGGGCGCAAGCCUGAUGCAGCGACGCCGCGUGGGGGAUGAAGGCCUUCGGGUUGUAAACUCCUUUCGCUAGGGACGAAGCGUUUUUGUGACGGUACCUAGAUAAGAAGCACCGGCUAACUACGUG